UUUUUAACACGUCAUUAUCAACUACGCUGGGCUUCUUCCCAUGGCCCAAAACGAAUCCACUUGAGUAAUCUAUUGUCCGGCGAUUUCUAUCGAUUUCUCCGUACUUUGUCUUCUCCGCUUCGACUUCUUGCAACCUCAAUUACCGCGAUCCCACUUCUUAUCAAUCAAUAGGUUUUACCGUUUCAAUCACUCAUUCAGUUCUUAUAUCUCUUCCAAGACGUUGUAUCUCUAUCUAUAAAAAGGUGAGGAUUCAUCCCUUCAGAAUCAUCCUUUUGAAUGCCUCUCUGUUUCUACCAUUGUAGUAGGUGGAUCUUCAGCCAUUCCGUUUAGUUUGAUAUGUACGAUCGAGCUAGCAUCAACAAUCGGAGCCAUAACUACCCUCGAUUGUAUCACCGGAACCGUUCUCAUCCCCUCCUUGGAUCCACAAGUGUCAUCCAUCUUCCGUUGGGUCUGGCGAUUGCUCCGGGAAUGAAGCAAACGAAUGAGACGGCGGAAAGAAUAAGCUGAGGAAAAACUCAGGCUUUUGGAGAAGGAUAGAGGACAAACAGCGACUGAAAGGAUUUCGGAUACGAGAAUUAAGAUGUGUACGAUAACGGCGCGGUGGGAUGUGAAAGCCGUAGGGGAUUUGUUGGAUAGAGAGUGUGUGAGGCCUGAUGUGAUAUUAGCUGAGGGAGAAGAAGACAGUGAUGAUGAGGAUGAUGAUACUGUGUUAUUGCAAUGGGAUAAGAACGAGGACGUUUGAUAUCAGCCGAAGUGAUCAGCAUUUUCUAUAAACUAUGAAAAUAAUUUUUUAUUUGUGAUCACAUGAAAUCCAGCGAUUAACUCUGUUGCUUCUUAAAAAGAUUAAUAAGACUAACUCUGUUGCUUCUUAAAAAUCUAGCAAUUUUGCUGUUUGGAGAUUUUGCUCACAGGACAUCGUUGCCGAUGUAGAAAGUGGAGGAAUUGUGGCGGAGGAAGAGCUUCAGCUAUUGAACAAGCCUAAUCAUGUAUCAACACCAGAGGAGGCCGAAAAUCAGUGUGGGAAAGCAGGCUGUGGCCAGGUCCUGCAUGAGCCCUUUCUGAAGUUCUUAAAGCAUGAAGAAGAAGAUGAAUCAGAGAUUUCCCAGGACAUGGAGAGACUCGCCCUGGAGUAUUACGAUCCCAAACCAGGUGAAUUUGUGGUUGGUGUUGUGACCUGUGGUUUCUGGUAACGAGAACAAACUUGAUGUGAGUAUAGUUGCGGAUAUGUUGGGGACCAUAAUGACGAAUGAGAAAGUUCCAUUGGAUUGUUAAGGAUGAUGAUGAAGAUGGUGUUUAAGUUGUGUAGUUUGCAAGGCAAGGCAUGCAUGUGGUGGAGAUAGGACGUUGAGUGGAAGGUCUUUGCUUUCUUCUAGACGUUACUUUAGAAGAAUAGCUUGGCACCAAGUGAGGAUGGAAGCAUGAUAAGGCAAAACGUCAUUCGAUUGAAGAGUUUCAGAGAUAACAAGGAAUUGUUUUCAAGAUUGACGAACUCGAGAUACAAGCCGAACAUAGCGAGCUUUUGCAAGGAUGUGUUGAAAACUGGGUAGUAGUAAGCUAUGACAAGACAAAUCAUUAAAAAUAUGGAUGGUAAAUGAUGAUGGAAAGACAGAUGGAAAUGAGGGAAGUUGAUGAUUGUGUGUGAUAUCAGUAGAUAAAUACAAAAGAAACACGUACGUGUUAUCCACGUUAAAUAGCUGAGUGUAUCUUGGGUCUUUUUUGUAUUUAAUUCAGCUUGAGUUAUAUAUGUGUUUGUUUUAA
Brassica napus (rape) is the source of this 1758-nucleotide long non-coding RNA. RefSeq lists it as uncharacterized. The transcript has 3 exons. NCBI's taxonomy places the organism in Eukaryota, Viridiplantae, Streptophyta, Magnoliopsida, Brassicales, Brassicaceae. The record is from RefSeq and is a predicted model, not a curated record.